Long non-coding RNA from Lycium barbarum (goji berry), 612 nucleotides. RefSeq lists it as uncharacterized. Lineage: Eukaryota; Viridiplantae; Streptophyta; Magnoliopsida; Solanales; Solanaceae. The record is from RefSeq and is a predicted model, not a curated record. The transcript has 2 exons.
UUUUCGUGUGGUGGUCAGGGCCAUUUUAUGAGAGAUUGUCCGUUGGCUAGCGGUUCUGGUAGUGUGGCUCAGCCGACAGGGUCAGCCGCCGGUUCAUCAUCUGCUCCAUCUGUUGCACGCCCUGGAGGGCGAGGUAUGCCAGCACCGGCAGGACGCGGUCGAGGCCGCGGUGGCGUUUCAGAUUCUAGCGGUCCCUCGAACCGCAUAUAUGCUUUGGCCAGCCGCCAGGAUCAGGAGGCUUCGCCAAACGUCGUCACAGGUACAGACAUUGGUGAUCCCCCAUUGUAGGCUCCACUUUUCUGCUAUCUCGGAGUACUCCUACUUGAUCCGGAGUCCACUUCUGGUAUAGACAUCUGUUGCUGUAUAUAUUUUGUAUAUUUGGCUGUUUGGGUACGGCGGGGCCCUGUCCCGCCAUAUGAUUCUGUCGGUCUGUUAGAGGUCUGUGGACAGGGUUGUGGGUUAUGGUCCUUAGGUAUGGUUAUGUGAACAUGUCGUUGUGCGAUUCUCAUAUACUGAGGCGGCCAGUCCGCAUGUUUUGAUUAGGCGAUUCUAUACGCCGAGGCGGCCAGUCCGCGUUUGAUAUAUGUAUAUAUAUUGUCCUGUUAGCCCUGA